UACGAAGGGGGCUAGCGUUGCUCGGAAUCACUGGGCGUAAAGGGGGCGUAGGCGGGUCUUUAAGUCAGGGGUGAAAUCCUGGAGCUCAACUCCAGAACUGCCUUUGAUACUGAGGAUCUUGAGUUCGGGAGAGGUGAGUGGAACUGCGAGUGUAGAGGUGAAAUUCGUAGAUAUUCGCAAGAACACCAGUGGCGAAGGCGGCUCACUGGCCCGAUACUGACGCUGAGGCACGAAAGCGUGGGGAGCAAACAGG
Molecule: ribosomal RNA, 253 nt
Filed under: uncultured bacterium
Lineage: Bacteria
Description: partial 16S ribosomal RNA
Rfam family: Bacterial small subunit ribosomal RNA
Source: RNAcentral